RNAcentral lists this ribosomal RNA (276 nucleotides) under uncultured bacterium. RNAcentral's name for it is "partial 16S ribosomal RNA". It matches the Rfam family "Bacterial small subunit ribosomal RNA", at positions 28 to 302 of the family's 1533-position model. The record is from RNAcentral.
GACGAACGCUGGCGGCGUGCUUAACACAUGCAAGUCGAACGAGGUCCACUCUUCGGGGUGGGUUCUAGUGGCGAACGGGUGAGUAACACGUGGGCAACCUGCCCCUGGCUCUGGGAUAACUCCAAGAAAUUGGGGCGUAAUACCGGAUAUUCACUGCUGGCCGCAUGGUUGGUGGUGGAAAGAUUUAUCGGCUGGGGAGUGGGCCCGCGGCCUAUCAGCUUGUUGGUGGGGUAGUGGCCUACCAAGGCGACGACGGGUAGCCGGCCUGAGAGGGUG